RNAcentral lists this ribosomal RNA (918 nucleotides) under marine metagenome. Its description in RNAcentral is "bacterial SSU rRNA". It matches the Rfam family "Bacterial small subunit ribosomal RNA", at positions 8 to 973 of the family's 1533-position model. The record is from RNAcentral.
AGAGUUUGAUCAUGGCUCAGAACGUACGCUGGCGGCACGCUUAACACAUGCAAGUCGAACGAAGUAGCAAUACUUAGUGGCAGACGGGUGAGUAUAAUGUGGGAAUCUGCCUUUUGGUUUAGAAUAACUCGGGGAAACUUGAGCUAAUACUGGAUAAGCCCUUACGGGGAAAGCUUUAUGCGCCAAGAGAUGAGCCCGCACUUGAUUAGCUUGUUGGUGAGGUAAAAGCUCACCAAGGCAACGAUCAAUAGCUGUUCUUAGAGGAAGACCAGCCACAUUGGGACUGAGACACGGCCCAGACUCCUACGGGAGGCAGCAGUGGGGAAUCUUGCACAAUGGGGGAAACCCUGAUGCAGCGAUGCCGCGUGAGUGAAGAAGGCCUUUGGGUUGUAAAACUCUUUCGUCGGGGAAGAAAAUGACUGUACCCGAAUAAGAAGGUCCGGCUAACUUCGUGCCAGCAGCCGCGGUAAUACGAAGGGACCUAGCGUAGUUCGGAAUUACUGGGCUUAAAGAGCUCGUAGGUGGUUAAAGAAGUUGGUGGUGAAAUCCCAAGGCUUAACCUUGGAACUGCCAUCAAAACUUUUUAGCUAGAGUAUGAUAGAGGAAAGUGGAAUUUCUAGUGUAGAGGUGAAAUUCGUAGAUAUUAGAAAGAACAUCAAAAGCGAAGGCAACUUUCUGGAUCAUUACUGACACUGAGGAGCGAAAGCAUGGGUAGCGAAGAGGAUUAGAUACCCUCGUAGUCCAUGCCGUAAACGAUGUGUGCUAGACGUUGGAAAUUUAAUUUUCAGUGUCGCAGCAAAAGCAUUAAGCACACCGCCUGGGGAGUACGACCGCAAGGUUAAAACUCAAAUGAAUUGACGGGGACCCGCACAAGCAGUGGAGCAUGUGGUUUAAUUCGAAGAUACGCGCAGAACCUUA